UACAGAGGGGGCAAGCGUUAUUCGGAAUUAUUGGGCGUAAAGGGCGCGUAGGCGGCUUUGCAAGUGACGGGUGAAAGCCCUCGGCUUAACCGAGGAACUGCCUGUCAGACUGUAAGGCUUGAGACCGGGAGAGGUGAGUGGAAUUCCCAGUGUAGCGGUGAAAUGCGUAGAUAUCAGGAGGAAUACCGGUGGCGAAAGCGACUCUCUGGACGGCAACUGACGCUGAGGCACGAAAGCGUGGGGAGCAAACAGG
This 253-nucleotide ribosomal RNA is filed under the name uncultured bacterium. RNAcentral describes it as "partial 16S ribosomal RNA". It matches the Rfam family "Bacterial small subunit ribosomal RNA", at positions 524 to 776 of the family's 1533-position model. The record is from RNAcentral.